This 297-nucleotide ribosomal RNA is filed under the name Pantoea ananatis. Its description in RNAcentral is "partial 16S ribosomal RNA". It matches the Rfam family "Bacterial small subunit ribosomal RNA", at positions 90 to 390 of the family's 1533-position model. Lineage: Bacteria; Pseudomonadati; Pseudomonadota; Gammaproteobacteria; Enterobacterales; Erwiniaceae. The record is from RNAcentral.
GACGAGUGGCGGACGGGUGAGUAAUGUCUGGGGAUCUGCCCGAUAGAGGGGGAUAACCACUGGAAACGGUGGCUAAUACCGCAAAACGUCGCAAGACCAAAGAGGGGGACCUUCGGGCCUCUCACUAUCGGAUGAACCCAGAUGGGAUUAGCUAGUAGGCGGGGUAACGGCCCACCUAGGCCACUAUCCCUAUCUGGUCUGAGAGGAUGACCAGCCACACUGGAACUGAGACACGGUCCAGACUCCUACGGGAGGCAGCAGUGGGGAAUAUUGCACAAUGGGCGCAAGCCUGAUGCA